AUACAACAUCACAGUGAGACCAGUGUUGUGUUCGCUGUGAAGGGAAGAAGACCUAUCGUCGAAGGGAAUCGGUCAUCCGUGAAAGUACAAAGUGACAAAGCCUUCAAACUACCCAGGUACAGAACGUGGAUAUUGUCUCACUGGAUGCUCAUCCACAUACAGAUGAAAGGACGAGAGAUUUCUGCAACAGAUACGGAGACAGUUUAACUCGCCUCUCACCUCAUCACCUCGGUGCAUGUGUCCUGAUGCCAGAUAGCAUACAAAAGAAGAGUAAAUAGCUUUAGGUGGUUCGACAUGUGCUUUGAAUGGUGAAGCAACACCCCAGCUUUCUGUUGAUGUACCUGAGUUGGAGGAUGCCAAUUUGAGAACUAAGGCAGGUGAACUGAAAAUCUCUUUAGCUGACGCUGACAUGACUGACAGUCAGAAGAGUGACUUUGAAUUGUUUUUGGGACAGAAUAGAGAUGUCUUUGCAGUUGACAUGUCAGAAAUAGGUAGGACACACCUGUUUUCCCACAAAAUAAAUACAGGUAAUUACAGUCCAGUAUACCAAAGAGCAUACCCAUGCUCACCUGAGACCAAAGAUGAGAUUGAUAGACAGGUGGAUCAAUUACUUAAGUAUGAGAUGAUAGCUCCUACCUUUUCUCAGUGGAGCUCACCUUUCUUGCUCGUUAAGAAGGCUGACCAUACUUUCAGUUCAAAACUAGUAAUCAAACUCAGACAUACUAAGUGUCUUCGUGUGUAAGAAUUGAUUCCAGUUUAUAUUCAAUUGACAUCUUGUUGCAUGAUUUAUGGAUUUAUACUACUAUCUAUGUAUAAGAUUGUAUGUCAGGUAUAUUUGCUAUUGCAAUUUUCUUCUGAUAUCUAUGUGAUUGAUAUUUACUUGUGAUGUGUUGAUUGUAUCAGA
Haliotis rubra (blacklip abalone) is the source of this 904-nucleotide long non-coding RNA. RefSeq lists it as uncharacterized. The transcript has 3 exons. NCBI's taxonomy places the organism in Eukaryota, Metazoa, Mollusca, Gastropoda, Lepetellida, Haliotidae. The record is from RefSeq and is a predicted model, not a curated record.